Molecule: ribosomal RNA, 806 nt
Filed under: Cephalotrichum guizhouense
Lineage: Eukaryota; Fungi; Ascomycota; Sordariomycetes; Microascales; Microascaceae
Also listed under: 1 other name
Description: eukaryotic LSU rRNA
Rfam family: Eukaryotic large subunit ribosomal RNA
Source: RNAcentral
GGGAUUGCCUCAGUAACGGCGAGUGAAGCGGCAACAGCUCAAAUUUGAAAUCUGGUCCCCUCUGGGGGCCCGAGUUGUAAUUUGAAGAGGAUGCUUUUGGCGAGGCGCCUUCCGAGUGCCCUGGAACGGGACGCCACAGAGGGUGAGAGCCCCGUAUGGUAGGACGCCGAGCCUCUGUAAAGCUCCUUCGACGAGUCGAGUAGUUUGGGAAUGCUGCUCAAAAUGGGAGGUAAACCCCUUCUAAAGCUAAAUAUUGGCCAGAGACCGAUAGCGCACAAGUAGAGUGAUCGAAAGAUGAAAAGCACUUUGAAAAGAGAGUUAAACAGCACGUGAAAUUGUUGAAAGGGAAGCGCUUGCGACCAGACUUGCGCCCGUCGGAUCAACCGUCCCUCGUGGGCGGCGCACUCCGGCGGGCUCAGGCCAGCAUCAGUUUUCCCGGGGGGAGAAAGGCGGUGGGAAUGUGGCUCUUCGGAGUGUUAUAGCCCGCCGCGUAAUGCCCUCGGGGGGACUGAGGACCGCGCGUAUGCAAGGAUGCUGGCGUAAUGGUCGUCAGCGACCCGUCUUGAAACACGGACCAAGGAGUCGUCCUAAUAUGCGAGUGUACGGGUGUAAAACCCCUGCGCGUAAUGAAAGUGAACGGAGGUGAGAGCUUCGGCGCAUCAUCGACCGAUCCUGAUGUUCUCGGAUGGAUUUGAGUAAGAGCAUAUUGGGCCGGACCCGAAAGAAGGUGAACUAUGCCUGUAUAGGGUGAAGCCAGAGGAAACUCUGGUGGAGGCUCGCAGCGGUUCUGACGUGCAAAUCGAUCG